RNAcentral lists this ribosomal RNA (253 nucleotides) under uncultured bacterium. RNAcentral describes it as "partial 16S ribosomal RNA". It matches the Rfam family "Bacterial small subunit ribosomal RNA", at positions 524 to 776 of the family's 1533-position model. The record is from RNAcentral.
UACAGAGGGUGCGAACGUUGCUCGGAAUUACUGGGCGUAAAGCGCGUGUAGGCGGCUUUGCAAGUCGGAUGUGAAAGCCCACGGCUCAACCGUGGAAGUGCAUCCGAAACUGCAUGGCUUGAGUCUCGGAGAGGAAGGUGGAAUGCUUGGUGUAGAGGUGAAAUUCGUAGAUAUCAAGCAGAACACCUGCGGCGAAGGCGGCCUUCUGGACGAUGACUGACGCUGAGACGCGAAAGCGUGGGGAGCAAACGGG